Long non-coding RNA from Rhinopithecus roxellana (golden snub-nosed monkey), 748 nucleotides. RefSeq lists it as uncharacterized. NCBI's taxonomy places the organism in Eukaryota, Metazoa, Chordata, Mammalia, Primates, Cercopithecidae. The record is from RefSeq and is a predicted model, not a curated record. The transcript is spliced from 4 exons.
CAACAGAAGAGGGGUCCAUGUGUACAGAUAGGGCUGGAGUGAUCCACGUUCCAACAGCAGGCCCUUUAACCUCACUUGAAUAUGGAGGCUGCAUAGGUCACAAGUCUGAAGACUACGAGCUACCUUUGCUUAAAAGGAACCACACCAUCAGUGGUAGCUAACUGCUAGAUUGUUCUCCAGCAUAUCAGGGCUACAUUGCAUUGCUUGAGUUGCGCUUCAGUUAACGUAGAGAACUUCACCGAACCACACAUAACCAUUGAAGUAACCUGCUGUUUACAGUCUCUAUAAUGCUCUGCCAAGGGAGUUAUUUUACAGUGACAAAACUUCUCUUUUGGUGCCCUGACACAUCCUAGGACUUUGAUGUUGGUAAUUCUUUCCCCCCAGCAAAUGUUGGUUCUAAAUCCACAGAACUACUUGAGAAACCAGAUGCAAAAUUAUGAUCUUGAAGCUGGGAAGUCCAAGAGCAAGGUCUGGCAGCAGUGUCAGGGGAAGACUCUUUCUCUUUCUUGCAGAUGGCUGGCUUCUCACUGUGUUCUCAAAGGGUAAGAUUGGAGAGGGGAGGAUACCAGUUCCUGAAAGGAGAGGAGUUUGAAAGAGAAACUUAAAGCAUCUGGGUAGUCUCCCAGAGGAUGUGGAAGCCACAGAGUCAUCUAGAUUUACUUCCCAGUUUCCUCAUCCAUGUUAAAGGUAUACCCCCAGAUGGCCUGAAGUAACUGAAGAGUCACAAAAGAAGUGCAAAUGCCCUGCC